Molecule: long non-coding RNA, 977 nt
Filed under: Sus scrofa (pig)
Lineage: Eukaryota; Metazoa; Chordata; Mammalia; Artiodactyla; Suidae
Description: lncRNA (ENSSSCG00060067575.1)
Source: RNAcentral
GGCGGCAGAGGGCGCCUGGCGCUGCGGUCCGGAGCGCCGAAGCCGCCCGCGCGGGCGCCGAGAGGAGAGGCGAGGCGAGGCGGGGAGCGCGAGCGGCGGCGGCCACUGCCACGUCUUCCCGGCAGUGGCGGCGGCGGCGGCGCGGGAGGAGGAAUAAUCCAGGUCGCCUUCACUGGAAAUCAGUUUGCUGAAACUAUUGAUACGCAGUUCUUAACGCUGAAGAAAAGGAGGUCCUGCGCCUUGACCACACGAGCGUGGCCCUUCCUCCAGACCCCCGCUCCGGACGCGCCCACCUAGCGUCUCCCAGGAACCAUGCGGCAGCUCAAGGGGAAGCCCAAGAAGGAGACGUCCAAGGACAAGAAGGAGCGGAAGCAGGCCAUGCAGGAGGCCCGGCAGCAGAUCACCACCGUGGUGCUGCCCACGCUGGCCGUGGUCGUGGUCCUGAUCGUGGUGUUUGUGUACGUGGCCACGCGCCCCACCAUCACCGAGUGAGGGCCCGCCCCGAGGGAGGAGGCUCGGGAGGGGAGAGCAGAAGAAGGGCCUUCAUCCGCUGCGAUUUUCCUGAUGCCGAGCUCUGAGCAGGAGCCCCCGUCUGCUCUGGUCUGUGACUUGAUUAAAGGUUCUCCACUUUUCUUGGGAGGGAAUAGGAAACGUUUUAUCAGUGAACGUGCCAUACACCUUAUGGUCCACUUCAUGUGCCUUUCAGACUUCAAAGCCGUGUGUGUGUGUGUGUGUGUGUGUGUGUGUGUUUCUCGCCUGCAAUCGAUGUGUAGCCCCACCUGGUGAGAGGAGGCGUCUCUGGGUCACGGAUCAGUUGGAAUCAGUGCUCACCCCAUCCCCGUUGUUUUGAACAUGACUUUCCUACACGUGUUCACAAUUUCCAAAGGGACUGUGUUUCUUCUCUGUGCUUCAUGUGAUUUGAAAUAUGUCGACUCAAAAGUGAAAUAUUUAUUUUUUGAAUAAAGGAGAUGAUAGCC